This 450-nucleotide ribosomal RNA is filed under the name uncultured Glomeromycotina. RNAcentral describes it as "SSU rRNA". It matches the Rfam family "Eukaryotic small subunit ribosomal RNA", at positions 569 to 1024 of the family's 1831-position model. The record is from RNAcentral. Lineage: Eukaryota; Fungi; Glomeromycota.
AGCAGCCGCGGUAAUUCCAGCUCCAAUAGCGUAUAUUAAAGUUGCUGCAGUUAAAAAGCUCGUAGUUGAAUUUCGGGACCAAUAUGUCGGUCGUGCUUAGGUACGUACUGGCAUCGUUGGUUCCUCCUUUCUGAAGAACCAUGAUGUCAUUUAUUUGGUGUCGUGGGGAAUCAGGACUGUUACUUUGAAAAAAUUAGAGUGUUUAAAGCAGGCUCACGCUUGAAUACAUUAGCAUGGAAUAAUGAAAUAGGACGUUUGAUUCUAUUUUGUUGGUUUCUAGGAUCGACGUAAUGAUUAAUAGGGAUAGUUGGGGGCAUUAGUAUUCAAUUGUCAGAGGUGAAAUUCUUGGAUUUAUUGAAGACUAACUACUGCGAAAGCAUUUGCCAAGGAUGUUUUCAUUAAUCAAGAACGAAAGUUAGGGGAUCGAAGACGAUCAGAUACCGUCGUAGU